AACAGCACGAGGUGUCCCAGGUGGUCACCCUCCCAAGUACUGACCACGCCCGAUGCUGCUUAACUGCGGUGAUCAGACGAGA
Araneus ventricosus is the source of this 82-nucleotide non-coding RNA. The record is from the annotation of a GenBank genome assembly. NCBI's taxonomy places the organism in Eukaryota, Metazoa, Arthropoda, Arachnida, Araneae, Araneidae.